Molecule: ribosomal RNA, 547 nt
Filed under: uncultured bacterium
Lineage: Bacteria
Description: partial 16S ribosomal RNA
Rfam family: Bacterial small subunit ribosomal RNA
Source: RNAcentral
UGGGGAAUAUUGCACAAUGGGCGAAAGCCUGAUGCAGCAACGCCGCGUGAGUGAUGAAGGUCUUCGGAUUGUAAAGCUCUGUCUUUUGGGACGAUAAUGACGGUACCAAAGGAGGAAGCCACGGCUAACUACGUGCCAGCAGCCGCGGUAAUACGUAGGUGGCGAGCGUUGUCCGGAUUUACUGGGCGUAAAGGGUGCGUAGGCGGAUGUUUAAGUGAGAUGUGAAAUACCCGGGCUUAACUUGGGUGCUGCAUUUCAAACUGGAUAUCUAGAGUGCAGGAGAGGAGAAUGGAAUUCCUAGUGUAGCGGUGAAAUGCGUAGAGAUUAGGAAGAACACCAGUGGCGAAGGCGAUUCUCUGGACUGUAACUGACGCUGAGGCACGAAAGCGUGGGUAGCAAACAGGAUUAGAUACCCUGGUAGUCCACGCCGUAAACGAUGAGUACUAGGUGUAGGAGGUAUCGACCCCUUCUGUGCCGCAGUAAACACAUUAAGUACUCCGCCUGGGGAAGUACGAUCGCAAGAUUAAAACUCUAAAGUGAAUUGACC